ACAUCCAAGGAGCGUUGCAGCGGGUGGCAAAGACCCCGUCAGGCUUGGACCAUGUUGUAACCGACCGCAACGACGCUCACCUGGU
RNAcentral lists this non-coding RNA (85 nucleotides) under Burkholderiales bacterium. Its description in RNAcentral is "SAH sequence". It matches the Rfam family "SAH (S-adenosyl-L-homocysteine) riboswitch aptamer". Lineage: Bacteria; Pseudomonadati; Pseudomonadota; Betaproteobacteria; Burkholderiales. The record is from RNAcentral.